Molecule: ribosomal RNA, 1103 nt
Filed under: uncultured metazoan
Lineage: Eukaryota; Metazoa
Description: SSU rRNA
Rfam family: Eukaryotic small subunit ribosomal RNA
Source: RNAcentral
GGAGGGCAAGUCUGGUGCCAGCAGCCGCGGUAAUUCCAGCUCCAAUAGCGUAUAUUAAAGUUGUUGUGGUUAAAAAGCUCGUAGUUGGAUCUCGGCGGACAGGAGUCGGUCCGAAUGCUUUCGGUACUGGCUUGUUUGUCCGUGUGUUUUGCCAGAGGCAGGCGGGUGCUCUUCGCCGAGUGUCCGUUUGUGCUGGCAGGUUUACUUUGAAAAAAUUAGAGUGCUCAAAGCAAGCUCUCACGCUUGAAUAUUCGUGCAUGGAAUAAUAGAAUAGGAUGUCGUUUCUAUUUUGUUGGUUUUCGGAAAUCGACAUAAUGAUUAAUAGGGACAGUCGGGGGCAUUUGUAUUCAAACGACAGAGGUGAAAUUCUUGGAUCGCCGCAAGACGAACAACUGCGAAAGCAUUUGCCAAGAAUGUUUUCAUUAAUCAAGAACGAAAGUUGGAGGUUCGAAGACGAUUAGAUACCGUCCUAGUUCCAACCAUAAACGAUGCCAACUAGCGAUUAGCUGCUGUUAAUUAAACGACACAGCUAGCAGCUUCCGGGAAACCAAAGUUUUUGGGUUCCGGGGGAAGUAUGGUUGCAAAGCUGAAACUUAAAGGAAUUGACGGAAGGGCACCACCAGGAGUGGAGCCUGUGGCUUAAUUUGACUCAACACGGGAAAUCUCACCAGGCCCGGACACGAGAAGGAUUGACAGAUUGAUAGCUCUUUCUUGAUUUCGUGGGUGGUGGUGCAUGGCCGUUCUUAGUUGGUGGAGUGAUUUGUCUGGUUAAUUCCGAUAACGAACGAGACUCUGUCCUGCUAACUAGUGUCUGCUUCUUUUUUGAGCAGAUUAUUCUUCUUAGAGGGACUGGUAGCUCUUAGCUACACGAGAUUGAGCAAUAACAGGUCUGUGAUGCCCUUAGAUGUUCUGGGCCGCACACGCGCUACACUGAAUGGAUCAGCUAGUUUUUCCCUCUCCGAGAGGAGCGGGUAAACUGUUGAACCCCAUUCGUGGUAGGGAUCGGAGCUUGCAAUUGUUCUCCGUGAACCAGGAAUUCCCAGUAGGCGCAAGUCAUAAGCUUGCGUCGAUUACGUCCCUGCCCUUUGUACACACCGCCCGUC